UGUAGGCGAUGCUUCUGGGGUUCCGAUUGGUGGCGUUGGCUUUGGAGGUCCUGUGGUUGUGGUUGUGGAUGGACUGGGUGGAGGGGCUGUAGUUCUCCCUGUUGUAGGCGAUGCUUCUGGGGUUCCGAUUGGUGGCGUUGGCUUUGGAGGUCCUGUGGUUGUG
Clupea harengus (Atlantic herring) is the source of this 163-nucleotide long non-coding RNA. RefSeq lists it as uncharacterized. Lineage: Eukaryota; Metazoa; Chordata; Actinopteri; Clupeiformes; Clupeidae. The record is from RefSeq and is a predicted model, not a curated record. The transcript has 2 exons.